This 4487-nucleotide small RNA is filed under the name Pan troglodytes (chimpanzee). RNAcentral describes it as "retained intron". Lineage: Eukaryota; Metazoa; Chordata; Mammalia; Primates; Hominidae. The record is from RNAcentral.
CACAGUCUGAACAUGGACCUCGAACUUUAGAUAAUCUCAUUAAUCCUCCACUCAACCUUCAAGAAACUCAAGUCACUAUAGAAGAAAUCACUCCUCUUGUCCCCCCACAAUCAGGAGAUAAAGGGCAAGAAGAUCUCACAAGCUAUUUUCUUGAAGCACUUCUAAAAUACAUAGUCAUUCAGGUAAAAAGUUUAGAAUGGAAGAACAAAGAAAACCAAGAAAGGGGAUUUUCAUUUUUGUUUUCACAUUUUAAGAAAUAUUACUUGCCUUAUAUUUUUCCAAACAUCUGUAAGGAAAACAGUUUAUAUCAUCCUAUACUUGACAUCCCGCAGAUGAGACCAAAGCCACAUUAUGUCAUGAUAAAGAAAGAUGCUGAAACCAAUGAAGCAAUCUAUUGUACAAAGGAGCCUUUCAUUAAGGCUCGUGUUAUUGUCAUUCGUUGGCUGGUUUCUUUCUGGCUGGAGCCAAAACCACAUACAGGACCUCAUAUUCCUGGGAUGGAAGGUGAAGUCUUGCCAAAGAAUAUUCAGAGAGCAGCUGCUAGUUUAGUAUCCAGAGAAGAAAGCAAAAAUGAUAAUGCUGAUAAAGCAGACAGAACUACAGAACCCGAACAGUCUCAUUCCAAUACAAGCACUCUCACGGAGCGAGAACCUAGCUCAUCUAGUCUCUGUAGUAUUGAUGAAGAACAUCUCACAGACAUUGAAAUAGUUCGCAGAGUUUUUUCUUCUAAAAGGAGUAAUGUAAACUUUGUGACAGAGAUAUUUCGUCAGGCAUUUUUAUUACCAAUUUGUGAAGCAGCAGCUAUGAGAAAAGUGGUAAAAGUAUAUCAAGAAUGGAUCCAACAAGAGGAAAAACCUUUGUUCAUGCAAGAGCCUGAAGAAAUUGUGAUCACUUCUUCAGACCUCCCUUGCAUUGAAAAUGUCACAGACCAUGAUAUUUCAAUGGAAGAAGGAGAAAAAAGAGAAGAGGAAAAUGGGACCAAUACUGCUGAUCAUGUUCGAAAUUCCAGUUGGGCAAAAAACGGCUCCUACCAAGGUGCUCUUCAUAACGCCUCUGAAGAAGCCACAGAACAAAACAUACGAGCUGGUACCCAGGCAGUUUUGCAGGUGUUCAUUAUAAACUCAUCAAAUAUAUUUCUUCUUGAACCUGCAAAUGAAAUAAAAAAUCUUCUGGAUGAACACACAGAUAUGUGUAAACGCAUUCUUAACAUUUAUCGGUACAUGGUUGUACAAGUAUCAAUGGACAAAAAGACUUGGGAACAGAUGCUGCUUGUGUUGCUCAGAGUCACGGAAUCUGUACUGAAGAUGCCAUCACAAGCUUUUCUACAGUUCCAAGGGAAAAAAAAUAUGACCUUGGCAGGUCGACUUGCAGGACCACUUUUCCAGACCCUUAUAGUUGCCUGGAUCAAAGCAAACCUAAAUGUGUACAUCUCCCGAGAACUUUGGGAUGACUUACUGUCAGUAUUGUCAUCGUUGACCUAUUGGGAAGAGUUGGCCACUGAGUGGUCACUGACUAUGGAGACAUUAACUAAAGUUUUAGCUAGGAAUUUAUAUAGUUUGGAUCUCAGUGAUUUACCAUUGGAUAAGCUGAGUGAACAGAAACAAAAAAAGCACAAAGGGAAAGGAGUUGGACAUGAAUUUCAGAAAGUUUCAGUUGACAAGUCAUUUUCUAGAGGAUGGAGUCGUGAUCAGCCUGGCCAAGCCCCAAUGAGACAGAGGAGUGCAACAACCACUGGUUCUCCAGGAACCGAAAAGGCGAGGAGUAUAGUACGGCAAAAAACUGUCGCCAUGAGAAGCCGAUCCAUUGGUGAAUGUGCUCUGCCAUCGGCCUAUAUACGCAGUGCUAAAAGUGCUCCUGUUCUGAUCCAUACUUCCAAACCCUUCUUGCCUGAUAUUGUUCUCACUCCCCUUUCUGAUGAGCUUUCAGAUAUUGAUGAUGCUCAAAUACUUCCCCGCUCAACUAGAGUCAGACAUUUUUCACAAAGUGAAGAAACUGGAAAUGAAGUUUUUGGUGCUUUGAAUGAGGAGCAGCCAUUGCCUCGAAGUAGCAGCACUUCUGACAUCUUGGAACCAUUCACUGUUGAACGAGCCAAAGUCAAUAAAGAGGACAUGAGCCAAAAACUGCCUCCUCUUAAUAGUGAUAUUGGCAGCAGCAGUGCUAAUGUUCCUGAUCUGAUGGAUGAGUUUAUAGCAGAACGACUUCGAAGUGGUAAUGCCUCGACUAUGACAAGAAGAGGAAGUAGUCCAGGCAGCCUGGAAAUUCCCAAAGACCUCCCUGAUAUUCUAAACAAGCAGAACCAGAUGCGCCCUAUUGAUGACCCAGGUGUGCCCUCAGAAUGGACUUCUCCUGCCAGUGCAGGGAGCAGUGAUCUUAUCAGCUCAGAUAGUCAUUCGGAUUCUUUCAGCGCUUUCCAAUAUGAUGGCCGAAAAUUUGACAAUUUUGGCUUUGGAGCCGACACUGGGGUUACGUCCUCUGCUGAUGUGGAUUCAGGUUCUGGCCAUCAUCAGAGUGCUGAAGAGCAGGAAGUGGCUAGUCUAACUACUCUUCAUAUAGAUUCUGAAACAAGCAGUCUUAAUCAGCAAGCUUUCUCUGCUGAAGUUGCAACUAUUACUGGUUCAGAAAGUGCUUCCCCAGUCCAUUCACCUCUGGGCUCCAGGUCACAGACUCCUUCCCCUUCUACACUGAAUAUAGAUCACAUGGAACAGAAGGAUCUGCAGCUCGAUGAGAAGCUCCACCACUCUGUUCUUCAGACACCAGAUGAUCUAGGCAAUAUUUCAAAAUUAGAUAUUUACCUUUUUUCUUUUAGGGCGUCAGUGUCAGGAGAUCAUAAAUAAGCCAUCUUACAUUUGAUUAUAUAUGAUUAUUGUAAAUAUUUUGGACUUUUCUAAGUCCUUUGGAAAUUUGUUAAUAUAACUUUUUUCUUGUUCUUAAAGAUAUUUGUUGUCUGAGUUUUAUUCAUUUUAUUAUAGUUGAUUAGAAUCCUCAAAUUAGUUAUUGCAUUAUUUUCAAGUAUUAUAUUAUCAUUUAUUGAUAUUGGUAGUGUUUCCUAAAACAGGAAAUACAUAAUUUGGCAUCCUUAUUCUUAGUUUUAUACCUAAAGAACCUAGUAACUCACAGGAGAACGUAGUAACAUUAUCACUUGUUAAUCAAGCUUUCAGUGAAACAGUUUAUCAAACCAUUUUUUUUAUGUUGAUUCAGCAAAUUUGUCAACUAAAUUUAAUUUAAAAGUAGAGGUCCAAAUGAAUAUUUUCAAGUAAAUGUUAAAAAGUGACUUGGGAAACCUAAGUAACUGCCAAGUUUUUUUUAAAGUUAUUUUUGCUAGAUUUUGUAUGAUGUAACAAACAUCAGACAAAUACGCACAUUUAUGGCAUAUGCAAAUAUGCCAUAAAUUGGUCAAAGACACAGUUAAUGAGAUAUUUACAAUGAAUGAAAAGCUAGUUUUCAUUGAUAAGGUAGCACAUUUAUUCUCUGACGAAAGGAAGAAAUUUAAAACUAUAUAACUUCUAAACUUUUUUUAAGAAACCCGUUUAUUUUAAAACUGUAGAGGUGAGGUUUCACCAUGUUGCCCAGGCUGGUCUUAAGCUCCUGAGCUCAAGUGACCCGCCUGCCUCGGCCUCCCAAGAUUACAGGUGUGAGCCACCACACCCGGCCCAAGGGACCCAUUCGUUAACAUGCAAUUGCCUUGUAAUUAUGUAGCCCUAAUUUUCUGGUUUGUGGAUUAUUUCUGACCUUUUCUUUUUCUCCUUUGAUCUGCAGUUGUUUAUUUGUUUACAGUUAUUUCCCCAACAUUUGGGAAAAAAACUUCAGUUAUAGAAGUGUUUCAAGGCUAGUAAAAUGAAUGCACAUAAACCCUUUAUAUAAAUUCAUCAAUUAAUAUUUUGCCACUUUGUCUAUAUUUACACACAGCACAUAUAUGCACAAAAUAGCCUGCCCUUCCCACAUGUCUCCCAAACCUUUUAUUUUUGCUGAGGCAUGUAAGAGGAAAUUGCAAAUAUCAGAUCCUUCAGACCUAAACAUGUCAGUGGAUAUGUCCUAAUAAUAAGUGUAUGUUUUCUGCGUAACCACAAUAUAAUGGCCACAUUCAUGAUAUUUAACAUAGAUACAUUGCUGUUAUUUUAGUCUAUAGUCGUAAGUCCUCAAUUGUCCCAAUAAUGCCCUUUAUAGCUACCCCACACCGUCAGCAAUCCAAUAAAGAAUUUAAUCAGGCUGGGCACCGUGGCUCACGCCUGUCAUCCCAGCACUUUGGGAGGCAAAGGCAGGUGGAUCACCUGAGGUCAGGAGUUCGAGACCAGUCUGGUCAACAUGGUGAAACCCUGUCUCUACUAAAAAUACAAAAAUUAGCUGAUCAUGGUGGCACACGCCUGUCAUCCCAGCUACUCGGUAGGCUGAGGCAGGAAAAUUACUUAAACCUGGGAGGUGGAGGUUGCAGUGAACUGAGGUCGUGCUGCCACUGUACUCCAACCUGGGUAACAGAGUGAGACUGUCUC